RNAcentral lists this long non-coding RNA (242 nucleotides) under Elaeis guineensis (African oil palm). Its description in RNAcentral is "long non-coding RNA (EGUI_LNC042585)". Lineage: Eukaryota; Viridiplantae; Streptophyta; Magnoliopsida; Arecales; Arecaceae. The record is from RNAcentral.
AGUAUUGAAAAAUGUGUCCUAAAGUUAAUCGUUUGGAUGAUUGUGCUCAUUUUAUAAUAUGUAUAUGAAUUAUUAAUCAAUGAAUAAAAAUUAUUUUGGUAUCGUUCAUCAUAAAGUUAUACUUCCUUGUUAGAACUCUUGUAUUGUGAUGAAGUCCUUAAAACUAUAAAGUAAUCAAUAAAAGAGGAUUUAUUGUAUAGUUCUUAAAUAUAUUCAUGAUCAAAUGAUACAUUAUUAAAGGA